This is a non-coding RNA of Vicia faba (fava bean), 204 nucleotides long. NCBI's taxonomy places the organism in Eukaryota, Viridiplantae, Streptophyta, Magnoliopsida, Fabales, Fabaceae. The record is from the annotation of a GenBank genome assembly.
AUGAACACCAAACACGAACAGCAAAACCAUAACAUUGUUUUUCCUGAUUUUAACGCAACGAAUUUCAACAUGACAGUUAGACCUCAAGUUAUUUUUACAUAUUUCAGUUUCCACAAAAUCGUCUCAACAUUAAAUCUAUACUCUAUCACAGAUUUCAAAUUGUUUCAUCUUUUUUUCCAGAAAAUAAAUGCAAACAAAAUAUAA